UACGAAGGGGGCUAGCGUUGUUCGGAAUCACUGGGCGUAAAGGGCGCGUAGGCGGCUUUAGUAAGUCGGGGGUGAAAGCCUGUGGCUCAACCACAGAAUUGCCUUCGAUACUGUAGAGCUUGAGACCGGAAGAGGUUAGUGGAACUGCGAGUGUAGAGGUGAAAUUCGUAGAUAUUCGCAAGAACACCAGUGGCGAAGGCGGCUGACUGGUCCGGUUCUGACGCUGAGGCGCGAAAAGCGUGGGGGAGCAAACAGGG
This 257-nucleotide ribosomal RNA is filed under the name uncultured bacterium. RNAcentral describes it as "partial 16S ribosomal RNA". It matches the Rfam family "Bacterial small subunit ribosomal RNA", at positions 524 to 777 of the family's 1533-position model. The record is from RNAcentral.